RNAcentral lists this transfer RNA (85 nucleotides) under Felis catus (domestic cat). It matches the Rfam family "tRNA". From Rfam's summary of the family: Transfer RNA (tRNA) molecules are approximately 80 nucleotides in length. Their secondary structure includes four short double-helical elements and three loops (D, anti-codon, and T loops). Further hydrogen bonds mediate the characteristic L-shaped molecular structure. tRNAs have two regions of fundamental functional importance: the anti-codon, which is responsible for specific mRNA codon recognition, and the 3' end, to which the tRNAs corresponding amino acid is attached (by aminoacyl-tRNA synthetases). tRNAs cope with the degeneracy of the genetic code in two manners: having more than one tRNA (with a specific anti-codon) for a particular amino acid; and 'wobble' base-pairing, i.e. permitting non-standard base-pairing at the 3rd anti-codon position. The record is from Rfam by way of RNAcentral. Lineage: Eukaryota; Metazoa; Chordata; Mammalia; Carnivora; Felidae. RNAcentral also lists the same sequence under 2 other names.
GCCUGGGUGGCUCAGUUGGUUGAGCAUCUGACUUCGGCUCAGGUCAUGAUCUCACAGCUCGUGAGUUCGAGCCCCGCGUCGGGCU